Molecule: transfer RNA, 73 nt
Filed under: Stegodyphus mimosarum
Lineage: Eukaryota; Metazoa; Arthropoda; Arachnida; Araneae; Eresidae
Rfam family: tRNA
About the family: Transfer RNA (tRNA) molecules are approximately 80 nucleotides in length. Their secondary structure includes four short double-helical elements and three loops (D, anti-codon, and T loops).
Source: Rfam by way of RNAcentral
GUUUUCGUGGUGUAGUGGUCAGCACGCUCGACGCGUAUUCGAGAGGUCCGUGGUUCGAGUCCCGGCGAGGGCA